CGUGUCGUGAGAUGUUCGGUUAAGUCCGCUAACGAGCGCAACCCUCGUCGUGUGUUAUACGUGUCACACGAUACUGCCGGUAUCAAGCCGGAGGAAGGUGGGGAUGAUGUCAAGUCAGCAUGGCCUUUAUAUCCUGGGCUACACACACGCUACAAUGGCAGAUACAAUAGGUUGCGAAACCGCGAGGUGGAGCCAAUCCUCAAAGUCUGUCUCAGUUCAGAUUGUAGGCUGCAACUCGCCUGCAUGAAGUUGGAGUUGCUAGUAAACGCAGGUCAGCUAUACUGCGUUGAAUACGUUCCCGGGUUU
Molecule: ribosomal RNA, 306 nt
Filed under: uncultured Leptolinea sp.
Lineage: Bacteria; Bacillati; Chloroflexota; Anaerolineae; Anaerolineales; Anaerolineaceae
Description: bacterial SSU rRNA
Rfam family: Bacterial small subunit ribosomal RNA
Source: RNAcentral